GAUGAACGCUGGCGGCGUGCCUAAUACAUGCAAGUCGAGCGGAGCGGCGGACGGGUGAGUAAUGCCUAGGAAUCUGCCUGGUAGUGGGGGAUAACGUCCGGACACGGGCGCUAAUACCGCAUACUCUCAGCUGAGCCUAGGUCGGAUUAGCUAGUUGGUGGGGUAAAGGACUACAAAGGCGACGAUCCGUAACUGGUCUGAGCGGAUGAUCAGUCAAACUGGAACUGAGAAACGGUCCAGACUCCUACGGGAGGCAGCAGUGGGGAAUAUUGGACAAUGGGCGAAAGCCUGAUCCAGCCAGGCCGCGUGUGUGAAGAAGGUCUUCGGAUUGUAAAGCACGUUAAGUUGGGAGGCGUUACCAACAGAAUAAGCACCGGCUAACUUCGUGCCAGCAGCCGCGGUAAUUC
This 407-nucleotide ribosomal RNA is filed under the name uncultured bacterium. RNAcentral describes it as "partial 16S ribosomal RNA". It matches the Rfam family "Bacterial small subunit ribosomal RNA", at positions 28 to 526 of the family's 1533-position model. The record is from RNAcentral.